RNAcentral lists this ribosomal RNA (920 nucleotides) under uncultured archaeon. RNAcentral describes it as "bacterial SSU rRNA". It matches the Rfam family "Archaeal small subunit ribosomal RNA", at positions 1 to 922 of the family's 1478-position model. The record is from RNAcentral.
UUCCGGUUGAUCCUGCCGGAGGUCAUUGCUAUUGGAGUCCGAUUUAGCCAUGCUAGUCGUACGAGUUCAUACUCGUGGCGAAUAGCUCAGUAACACGUGGCCAAACUACCCUGUCGAGCACGAUAACCUCGGGAAACUGAGGCUAAUAGUGCAUACGGCUCGAUGCCUGGAACUGGCUCGAGCUCGAAACGCUCCGGCGCGACAGGAUGUGGCUGCGGCCGAUUAGGUAGACGGUGGGGUAACGGCCCACCGUGCCGAUAAUCGGUACGGGUUGUGAGAGCAAGAGCCCGGAGACGGAAUCUGAGACAAGAUUCCGGGCCCUACGGGGCGCAGCAGGCGCGAAACCUUUACACUGCACGACAGUGCGAUAAGGGGACUCCAAGUGCGAGGGCAUACAGUCCUCGCUUUUCACUACCGUAAGGUGGUGGUGGAAUAAGUGCUGGGCAAGACCGGUGCCAGCCGCCGCGGUAAUACCGGCAGCACGAGUGAUGACCGCUAUUAUUGGGCCUAAAGCGUCCGUAGCCGGCUUCGCAAGUCCGUCGGGAAAUCCGCACGCUCAACGUGCGGGCGUCCGGCGGAAACUGCGUGGCUUGGGACCGGAAGACUCGAGGGGUACGUCCGGGGUAGGAGUGAAAUCCCGUAAUCCUGGACGGACCACCGGUGGCGAAAGCGCCUCGAGAGGACGGAUCCGACGGUGAGGGACGAAAGCUAGGGUCACGAACCGGAUUAGAUACCCGGGUAGUCCUAGCUGUAAACGAUGUCUGCUAGGUGUGGCGCUGGCUACGAGCCAGCGCUGUGCCGUAGGGAAGCCGUGAAGCAGACCGCCUGGGAAGUACGUCUGCAAGGAUGAAACUUAAAGGAAUUGGCGGGGGAGCACUACAACCGGAGGAGCCUGCGGUUUAAUUGGAUUCAACGCCGGA